UGUGCUGAAAAUAAAAAAAAAUGAAAAGAAAACUUGGCACCGCCCCUCUGCUUUGCUUCCUGGGGAGGAAGGAGGAUCCCAGCUACUUCUUUCCCUCAUUCUGGGGCCCAGAGAUACCCACAGCCUGCCCAAGGUCACACAGCAGGGUCGGAGCCAGGACCCUGGCCUUAGACUCCCCUUCCAGUGCUCUACCCCCUCUGGCCACUGCCUCUGCUAUUCCUGGCUCUUCCUCUAGGCCCGUGAGGAGCAGAUGAAUUAGGAUGAAUGUUCCCGCACCCUACCACACGCUGGGCACUCUGCCACCUUGAGCUCACAAAACCCUCAUGACAGCCCUGUGAGGUCCUGUCACCCCAUUUAACCAACGAGGAAGCUGAGACUCAGAGAGGGGAAGCGCCCAAGGUCACACAGCCGGGACGUGGCAGAGCUGGGGUUCCAGCUCCUGUCCCCAUUGCUGGACAGCUGCCACAUCUGGCACCCAAUUUAGGACCCUGUGGGGAGGCCCAAGCCCUGGGGGUGGCGGGGGUUCCUAGAGGGAAGUGGCAAGGCCAGGACCCUGGAACUGAGCCAGGCAUUGUCCUGGUACUAUGGAGCAAUGAACAAACAAGACAAAAAUGCCCCCAUCACCUUUGGAGCCCACAUCUCUUCGGAGCUGCCCUACAUUUCCUGAGUAGGAAACUGAGACUCUGAGAGAUGAAGCUACUUGCCAACGCCACGCAGCUCAGCCACAUCCCACUGAACAUCAUCCUGUUCCCUGGGGUCCUCACAGCACCUCCUGCAAACAGACCUCCGACCCAAGCCCUUCCUUCUGCCUCCACUGCCACCAUUGCUGCUCAUCUCUGCUGGCACAGAAGUCUCGUCCCUGGUCCUCCAGAAAUCCCCUCUCCAUAUUCAGCGAGAGGGAGCUGUUAAAACUGCGGGCCAGCCCACAUCAGUCCCCGGCAAAGUCCUCUCUAAGGGAUCCCGUUGCUUGGAGAAUAAACCCUCGGAUUCCUUCCUUGGCUCUCGGGGCCUCCUCUCUGACCUCCCUCUGUCUCCUCUCCCAGCCUUCCUCCUCACUUACCCUCCAGCCACGCUGGCUUCCUCUUUGCUCCUGAAACAGCCUGAGGCCCACACUGCCGCGGGCCCUUUGCACUGGCUGUUCCCUCUACCUGGAACACUUCUCCCAGGCUUCCACAGGGCUCCCUCCCGCAAUUCCUUCGGGUGCCCACCUGGGAAGCCUUUCCUGACCGCCCCCCACUUCCUUCUGAGCACGGUCGGGUCUUUCUACCUGGUAUAUGAGGGCAGGGAUUUUUGUCUGCUGUGUUCUCUGUGUGCCCCAGUGCCAUCACAGUGUCUGGCAGAUGGUAAGUGCUCGACACACAUUGGCUGACUGCCUGAAUGAACAACUCUAUGGGCUGAUGGCAGUUAAGGACACUGAGGUCCUCUGGGGUAGGUGACCAGCCCAAGGCCACACAGCUGGUUUGAGAUUAGGCCAGGAGAGGAGCCCGGGUUGGUCACAUCCUGGAGCUGGUGUCUUGGAAACUGCAUCAGGAGAAUAACAAAGAUGAGACUCAGGCUCUAACAAGCGGAUACCAGCGACUCUUGCCCCGCCAGCCCCAGCCCUGCGGCCUUGGGCCCUUCCAGGAGUCAUGGUCUGCCUGCCUGGGGCAUUCCAGGCUUCAGCCCAGGUCCUGCGCUUUCUAUUUUGAGCCUCUUAGUCCUGAGGACUGUGUGUUCCCAGCAGGCGGCACGGGCCAGAGGCUGAGCCUGGGUGUGGCUGUCACCCUAUCUGGGGCCAGGGACCCAGAUUCCCGGGCCCUUAACCUGUUGGCUGCUGAGGGCUCUGGCAUAAGCCCUGUUCCCUGCUUGAUUGUCUCCCCUUCAAGCCCCUGCGCUGGUGUCUUCCAGGCAUGGUAUCAGCCCAUCUCACCUUGGAUUAUAUCCCUGUUUGGCCCCAUUUGAAUCCUGGCUCUGCCCCUUUCCAGCAAUGUGACCUUGGGCAAGUCACUUCAUCUCUCUGGGUCUCAGUUUCUUCAUCUGGGAAAUGGGGACAAUAAGAGUACCUGUCUCUGGCCAUGUGUGGUGACUCACGCCUGUCAUUCCAGCGCUUUGGGAAGCCGAGGCGAGAGAAUUGCUUGAGACCAAGAGUUUGAGAUCAGCCUGGGCAACAUAGUGAGACCCCUGUCUCUACAAAAUUUUAAAAAGUUAGCUGGGCAUGGUGGUGUGCGCCUGUAGUCCCAGCUAUUCUGGAGGCUGAGGCGGGAGGAUUGCUUGAGCCCAGGAGUUUGAGGCUGCAGUGAGCUAUGAUUACGCCCCUGCACAUUAGCCUGGGUGAUAGAAUGAGGCCCCAUCUCUAAAAAUAACAAUACUAAUAAUAAAUAAAAAUGAAAACAAGUACCUGU
RNA transcript from Cercocebus atys (sooty mangabey), 2381 nucleotides. RefSeq lists it as uncharacterized. The record is from RefSeq and is a predicted model, not a curated record. The transcript has 4 exons. Lineage: Eukaryota; Metazoa; Chordata; Mammalia; Primates; Cercopithecidae.